This 499-nucleotide ribosomal RNA is filed under the name uncultured bacterium. RNAcentral describes it as "partial 16S ribosomal RNA". It matches the Rfam family "Bacterial small subunit ribosomal RNA", at positions 28 to 507 of the family's 1533-position model. The record is from RNAcentral.
GACGAACGCUGGCGGCGUGCCUAAUACAUGCAAGUCGAGCGGACUUUCAAGAAGCUUGCUUUUUGAAAGUUAGCGGCGGACGGGUGAGUAACACGUGGGCAACCUGCCUGCAAGACGGGGAUAACUCCGGGAAACCGGGGCUAAUACCGGAUAAUAUCUUCCUUCGCAUGAAGGAAGGUUGAAAGGCGGCGCAAGCUGCCGCUUGCAGAUGGGCCCGCGGCGCAUUAGCUAGUUGGUGAGGUAACGGCUCACCAAGGCGACGAUGCGUAGCCGACCUGAGAGGGUGAUCGGCCACACUGGGACGGGGACACGGCCCAGACGCCUACGGGAGGCAGCAGUAGGGAAUCUUCCGCAAUGGACGAAAGUCUGACGGAGCAACGCCGCGUGAGCGAAGAAGGGCUUCGGAUCGUAAAGCUCUGUUGUCAGGGAAGAACAAGUACCGUUCGAACAGGGCGGUACCUUGACGGUACCUGACCAGAAAGCCACGGCUAACUACGUG